CCCACAGUUCAGACGAAAAAUGGCGGGGUCUUCUGAAUUGUUGGUCCUUGACCCCCCAUGGGACAAGGAGCUCGCGGCAGGGACAGAGAGCCAGGCCUUGGUCUCCGCCACUCCCCGAGAGGACUUUCGGGUGCGCUGCACCUCGAAGCGGGCUGUGACCGAAAUGCUACAACUGUGCGGCCGCUUCGUGCAAAAGCUCGGGGACGCUCUGCCGGAGGAGAUUCGGGAGCCCGCUCUGCGAGAUGCGCAGUGGACUUUUGAAUCAGCUGUGCAAGAGAAUAUCAGCAUUAAUGGGCAAGCAUGGCAGGAAGCUUCAGAUAAUUGUUUUAUGGAUUCUGACAUCAAAGUACUUGAAGAUCAGUUUGAUGAAAUCAUAGUAGAUAUAGCCACAAAACGUAAGCAGUAUCCCAGAAAGAUCCUGGAGUGUGUCAUCAAAACCAUAAAAGCAAAACAAGAAAUUCUGGUAAGAUGAUUUGCCUUUAAAAUGUUAUUGUAUGUUUUACCACAAUAAAAACAUUAAAAUAUAAGGCUCUAUGUGGAGAUAAGUGACAUUUUGUUGUCUUUUUCUUUCCUGCUUCAACGAGUAUUGUUUGUCUCUUGUAAGACUUUACUCUUCUAAGUUGUACUAUGACAUAGUAUAGUCAUACUAUACUGUGUUUUGAACACACUGGUUCAAAAAUGAAAA
This 685-nucleotide small RNA is filed under the name Pongo abelii (Sumatran orangutan). RNAcentral describes it as "processed transcript". The record is from RNAcentral. Lineage: Eukaryota; Metazoa; Chordata; Mammalia; Primates; Hominidae.